ACUCCUACGGGAGGCAGCAGUGGGGAAUAUUGCACAAUGGGGGAAACCCUGAUGCAGCCAUGCCGCGUGUGUGAAGAAGGCCUUCGGGUUGUAAAGCACUUUCAGUAGGGAGGAAGGUAGUGUAGUUAACACCUGCAUUAUUUGACGUUACCUACAGAAGAAGCACCGGCUAACUCCGUGCCAGCAGCCGCGGUAAGUACGGAGGGUGCGAGCGUUAAUCGGAAUUACGUGGGCGUAAAGCGCAUGCAGGCGGCCUGUUAAGUCAGAUGUGAAAGCCCGGGGCUUAACCUCGGAAUUGCAUUUGAAACUGGCAGGCUAGAGUCUUGUAGAGGGGGUUAGAAGUUUCAGGUGUAGCGGUGAAAUGCGUAGAGAUCUGAAGGAAUACCGAGUGGCGAAGGCGGCCCCUGGACAAAGACUGACGCUCAGAUGCGAAAGCGUGGGAGCAAACAGGAUUAGAUACCCCUGGUAGACUGUCA
RNAcentral lists this ribosomal RNA (476 nucleotides) under uncultured bacterium. Its description in RNAcentral is "bacterial SSU rRNA". It matches the Rfam family "Bacterial small subunit ribosomal RNA", at positions 335 to 802 of the family's 1533-position model. The record is from RNAcentral.